CAGUCGCCGCGGUAAUACGUAGGGUGCAAGCGUUGUCCGGAAUUAUUGGGCGUAAAGAGCGUGUAGGCGGCUCGACAAGUCCGCUGUGAAAGUCCAGGGCUCAACCCUGGAAUGCCGGUGGAUACUGUCGAGCUAGAGUCCGGAAGGGGCGAGUGGAACUCCUGGUGUAGCGGUGAAAUGCGCAGAUAUCAGGAAGAACACCAAUGGCGAAGGCAGCUCGCUGGGACGUGACUGACGCUGAGACGCGAAAGCGUGGGGAGCGAACAGGAUUAGAUACCCCAGUAGUCCCUGUCUCUUAUAC
Molecule: ribosomal RNA, 301 nt
Filed under: uncultured bacterium
Lineage: Bacteria
Description: partial 16S ribosomal RNA
Rfam family: Bacterial small subunit ribosomal RNA
Source: RNAcentral